AAUUUUACGAAGAUGGUGGCGCUAUUGUUAGAUUCCUAAAAGACACGGUACUGUAUGAUUCAUGGAUAAAAUCAACAGGUCGAAGAAAUUGGACUCCAGGAAAAAACAAACGCAUUUGUUCUAAACAUUUCAAUACAAAUAGCAAAACUCAGACAUUCAUAAAUGCAUCUUCAGUUUCAAUGAUAAUAUCAGAAACAUGUACACGAAACUUAUUUUGUUCAAAGGACAGUAAAUGAACGUAAUUUCUGUA
Long non-coding RNA from Melitaea cinxia (Glanville fritillary), 250 nucleotides. RefSeq lists it as uncharacterized. The transcript has 2 exons. NCBI's taxonomy places the organism in Eukaryota, Metazoa, Arthropoda, Insecta, Lepidoptera, Nymphalidae. The record is from RefSeq and is a predicted model, not a curated record.